This 279-nucleotide ribosomal RNA is filed under the name uncultured bacterium. Its description in RNAcentral is "partial 16S ribosomal RNA". It matches the Rfam family "Bacterial small subunit ribosomal RNA", at positions 506 to 784 of the family's 1533-position model. The record is from RNAcentral.
UGCCAGCCGCCGCGGUAAUACAGAGGGUGCAAACGUUGCUCGGAAUUACUGGGCGUAAAGCGCGUGUAGGCGGAUUCGAAAGUCAGAUGUGAAAUCCCCGGGCUCAACCUGGGAACUGCAUUUGAAACUUCGUGUCUAGAGUGAUGGAGAGGAAAGCGGAAUUAUCGGUGUAGAGGUGAAAUUCGUAGAUAUCGAUAGGAACACCAGUGGCGAAGGCGGCUUUCUGGACAUUUACUGACGCUGAGACGCGAAAGCAUGGGGAGCAAACAGGAUUAGAUA